GUGCCACGUUGGAAGCUGCUGCAGCGAGCUGAGCGGUAGCACGAGGGUGGGGGGCUGUUUGAGGUUAGCGAAUCCCGUGACCCGGCUGGUGGGGGUCAGGGAGAAUCGCAGGACAUAAAAAAGGGCCCAGCCUGAGGAUGAGUGCUUGCUCGUGGGAGCGGCUUCGCCAGUGCUCCCGGAUAGGCUGGGACGGCGGUGGGGGCUGAGCUGCACAGGGCUAGGCCUCCGGGAACUGGGGUCUCGGCUGCAGUGGGUCCGCCUGCCAAGUGCCCGGCCCGGCAGUGCCUCCUGCAGUGUAGACUUGAGGCCCCAGCAUCCUGAGAGCUGAGGACUUCUCUGCUUUUGUGAUGGAGAGCCUGAGCUUAUGAAGGACCCAUGGGAUUGGCAACUAGGUGGGAAGGCCGGAGAGAACCUGGCCUUUGCUGCCAUGCCACACUGACUGCACGUUUCAAAGUGCUUCACAAACUGUACUAGAGAAUGUAGUGUUAUC
This 490-nucleotide long non-coding RNA is filed under the name Fukomys damarensis (Damara mole-rat). RNAcentral's name for it is "lncRNA (ENSFDAG00000028444.1)". Lineage: Eukaryota; Metazoa; Chordata; Mammalia; Rodentia; Bathyergidae. The record is from RNAcentral.